Molecule: non-coding RNA, 273 nt
Filed under: Heterosigma akashiwo
Lineage: Eukaryota; Raphidophyceae; Chattonellales; Chattonellaceae
Source: RNAcentral
AGGAAAAGGAGAGUAUGGAUAUUGGGCAACAUCUUUUCUCCUUUUUUUCUUUUUCAUUCUGCACUUUUAGCAAAGGAAAGAGGAAGGGAAAAGGAGGUAGAACAGCCGUGACCAUUGUGUGUUUUCCAGCUGCUUGGUGUUGUUAUGUGGCUGGGUUACCUUUAUGACUACUGGUGGAGCUGAGUUGGAUAGGGCCCAACUUGGCUACUCUAAUUUUAUUUUUUCACUACUUUCUACUUAAAGCAGUCAUGAGAGCAUGUAUUGAAACGCCGG